Molecule: ribosomal RNA, 253 nt
Filed under: uncultured bacterium
Lineage: Bacteria
Description: partial 16S ribosomal RNA
Rfam family: Bacterial small subunit ribosomal RNA
Source: RNAcentral
UACGGGGGGGGCAAGCGUUGUUCGGAUUCACUGGGCGUAAAGGGUGCGUAGGUGGUGAGGUAAGUCGGAUGUGAAAGCUCGGAGCUCAACUCCGAAAUGGCAUUGGAAACUACCUUGCUCGAGGGUUGGAGGGGGGACUGGAAUGCUUGGUGUAGCAGUGAAAUGCGUAGAUAUCAAGCGGAACACCAGUGGCGAAGGCGAGUCCCUGGACAACUCCUGACACUGAGGCACGAAAGCUAGGGGAGCAAACAGG